RNAcentral lists this ribosomal RNA (254 nucleotides) under uncultured bacterium. RNAcentral's name for it is "partial 16S ribosomal RNA". It matches the Rfam family "Bacterial small subunit ribosomal RNA", at positions 524 to 776 of the family's 1533-position model. The record is from RNAcentral.
UACGGGGGGAGCAAGCGUUGUUCGGAUUUACUGGGCGUAAAGGGCGCGUAGGCGGCCUGUGCAAGUCAGUUGUGAAAUCUCCGAGCUUAACUCGGAACGGUCAACUGAUACUGCUCGGCUAGAGUGCGGAAGGGGCAACUGGAAUUCUUGGUGUAGAGGUGAAAUGCGUAGAUAUCAAGAGGAACACCUGCGGCGAAGGCGGGUUGCUGGGCCGACACUGACGCUGAGGCGCGAAAGCUAGGGGAGCGAACGGG